Belonocnema kinseyi is the source of this 314-nucleotide long non-coding RNA. RefSeq lists it as uncharacterized. The record is from RefSeq and is a predicted model, not a curated record. The transcript is spliced from 3 exons. Lineage: Eukaryota; Metazoa; Arthropoda; Insecta; Hymenoptera; Cynipidae.
GAUAACCAAAGAAAGAAAAAAGUAUCAAGAAGAAACUGAUGGGUGACUUCUGAAGUCUAUAAUUUCAGAUAAAAACGAAUUGUCGUCAAAUGAAAAAGGUCACAGAAAAAGAAUGGCGAUGCUUGAUCAUCUAAUAGCUGCUCAACAAAAUGGGGAAAAAAUCGAUGACACUGGAAUUCGAGAAGAAGUUGACAUAUUUGCUUGGUCAUGAUACAACCGCGAUGGCCAUAUGUUUCACAUUAUUAAUGCUUUUUGAAAAUGAAGAUGUUCAGGUUUUUAUAUUUUUAAAAUUAGGUAAAUAAUAUAUUAUUAUU